CGGUUGAUCCUGCCGGACCCCACCGCUAUCGGGGUAGGACCAAAACAUGCAAGUCGAGCGUCUGCCAACUAGCUAUUGUGGAGACGCGGCAUACGGCUCAGUAACACGCGGCCAACCCACCCUUGAGACGGGGACAACCCCGGGAAACUGGGGUUAAUCCCCGAUAGAAGGAGACACCUGGAAUGGGUCUCCUUCCAAAGAACGCCUAAACCAUGCUUUUAGGCGUUGCUCAAGGACGGGGCCGCGGCCGAUCAGGUUGUUGGUGAGGCAAAGGCUCACCAAACCUAUAACCGGUACGGGCCGUGAGAGCGGGAGCCCGGAGAUGGGCACUGAGACAAGGGCCCAGGCCCUACGGGGCGCAGCAGUUGCGAAAACUCCGCAAUACACGAAAGUGUGACGGGGCUACCCCGAGUGCCGCCCGCUGAGGGCGGCUUUUCCCCGGUGUAAGGAACCGGAGGAAUAAGGAGAGGGCAAGUCUGGUGUCAGCCGCCGCGGUAAUACCAGCUCUCCGAGUGGUGGGGAUAAUUAUUGGGCUUAAAGCGUCCGUAGCCGGCCUAACAAGUCUCCCGUUAAAUCCAACGAUUCAAUCGUUGGACUGCGGGAGAUACUGUUAGGCUAGGAGGCGGUAGAAGCCGACGGUAUUCUCGGGGUAGGGGUAAAAUCCUAUAAUCCCGGGAAGACCACCAGUGGCGAAGGCUGUCGGCUGGAACGCGCUCGACGGUGAGGGACGAAAGCUGGGGGAGCGAACCGGAUUAGAUACCCGGGUAGUCCCAGCUGUAAACGAUGCGGGCUAGGUGUUGAAGCGGCUACGGGCCGCUUCAGUGCCGCAGGGAAACCAUUAAGCCCGCCGCCUGGGAAGUACGGCCGCAAGGCUGAAACUUAAAGGAAUUGGCGGGGGAGCAC
This 903-nucleotide ribosomal RNA is filed under the name uncultured archaeon. RNAcentral describes it as "bacterial SSU rRNA". It matches the Rfam family "Archaeal small subunit ribosomal RNA", at positions 5 to 879 of the family's 1478-position model. The record is from RNAcentral.